This is a long non-coding RNA of Orcinus orca (killer whale), 2085 nucleotides long. RefSeq lists it as uncharacterized. The record is from RefSeq and is a predicted model, not a curated record. Lineage: Eukaryota; Metazoa; Chordata; Mammalia; Artiodactyla; Delphinidae. The transcript is spliced from 2 exons.
CCGCUCACCCGCCCGGGGCGCCGCAGCCCGCGCGUCCGGCGCGGGGUCCGCGGGCAGGCCUGGCUUGGGGGUCCCCUCUGCGCGGCGGGGCUCUUGGGAGUGUGUGUGUGUUGGGGGAGGGAGUAGCCGUGCUUGUCACCUCCCCUAGGGUCAGGACUCGGAGCUUCGCGUGUGUUGGUGGCUGAAGUGUAGCGCUGAGAUCGGCAGCUGAAGGGUUAAUUCCAUUUAGUUGUUUUCUUCCAAGCGCCGUGUUCUUAACGCGGCCGGGGUUUGGAAAGGGUGGAAUUGGGCUUGUCACAUUUUUAAGGCGCUUGGGGGAUUGAGGUUUCCUUCGGGUUUGGCCUGUGAGGGCAGCGGAAGGGUUAACUCCAGCUUGUCACUUUCCUGAAGGGUGGGAUUUGGCGACUCCGUGUGUCCCGUGAGAAAGCAUAAAAAUUGAGAUCCUCUCAACUAACCACUCGGGACGAAGAGCCCCGAUGUAGGAAAGCAGGGGACCGGUGGGGACUCAUUCCUGAAUUCUGUGGGCAGCUUCUCCGCUGUAAUUCAGUUACUGGUUUUCACCCGUUCCCCGAGGGGCCAAGAUCAAGUUGAUUGUGCUGCGCUCACCGAUACACCAGAAAUACAUCUACAUGUGGAACAACUCCUACAGAACACCUACUGAACGCUGGCAGAAGACCUCAGACCUCCCAAAAGGCAAGAAACUCCCCACGUACCUGGGUAGGGUGAAAGAAAAAAGAAUAAACAGACAAAAGAAUAGGGACGGGACUUGCACCAGUGGGAGGGAGCUGUGAGGGAGGAAAGGUUUCCACACACUAGGAAGCCCCUUCGCGGGCGGAGACUGCGGGUGGCGGAGGGGGAAGCUUCGGAGCCAGAACCGCGGAGGAGAGCGCAGCAAGAGGGGUGCGGAGGGCAAAGCAGAGAGAUUCCAGCACAGAGGAUCGGUGCCAAUUGGCACUCACCAGCCCGAGAGGCUUGUCUGCUCACCCGCCAGGGCAGGCGGGGCUGGGAGAGGGCUGGGGUUGGCGGCGUGAGCACAGCCUGCAGGGGGUUAGUGCACCACGGCUAGCCGGGAGGGAGUCCGGGGAAAAGUCUGGACCUGCAGAAGAGGCAAGAGACCUUUUCUACCCUCUUUGUUUCCUGGUGCGCGAGGAGAGGGGAUUAAGAGUGCUGCUUAAAGGAGCUCCAGAGACGGGCACGAGCUGCGGCUAAAAGCGCGGACCCCAGAGACGGGCAUGAGAUGCUAAGGCUGCUGCUGCUGCCACUAAGAAGCCUGUGUGCGAGCACAGGUCACUAUCCAUACCCCCUUUCUGGAGAGCCUGUGCAGCCCCCCACUGCCAGGGUACCGGGAUCUAGGGACAACUUCCCGGGGAGAACACAAGGCGCACCUGAGGCUGCUGCAAUGUCCCACUGGCCUCUGCCACCGCAGGCUCACCCCGCACUCUGUGCCCCUCCCUCCCCCCAGCCUGAGUGAGCCAGAGCCCCCGAAUCAGCGGCUCUUUUAACCCCGUCCUGUCUGAGCGAAGAACAGAUGCCCUCCGGCGGCCUACACGCAGAGGCGGGGCCAAAUCCAAAGCAGAGCCACGGGAGCUGUGAGAACAAAGAAGAGAAAGGGAAAUCUCUCCCAGCAGCCUCAGAAGCAGUGGAUUAAAGCUCCACAAUCAACUUGAUGUACCCUGCAUCUGUGGAAUACCUGAAUAGACAACGAGUCAUCCCAAAUUGAGGAGGUGGACUUUGGAGAGCAAGAUUUAUUAUUUUUUCCCCUUUUCCUCUUUUUGUAAGUAUGUGUAUGCUUCUGUGUCAGAUUUUGUCUGUAUAGCUUUGCUUCCACCAUUUGUCCUAGGGUUCUAUCCUUCCUUUUUUUUUUAAAAAUCUUUUUCUUAAUAAUUAUUUUUUAUUUUAAUUUAAUUUUAUUUUAUCUUACUUUAUUUUAUUUUACUUUAUCUUCUUUCUUUCUUUCCUUCCUUCCCACCCUCCCUCCCUCCCUCGCUCCUUUCUUUCUUUCUCCUUCCUUCCUUCCUUCCUUCCUUCCUCCCUUCCUCCCUUCCUCCCUUCCUCUCUCCCUUCCUCCCUCCCUCCCUCCCUCCC